This is a long non-coding RNA of Scylla paramamosain (green mud crab), 1275 nucleotides long. RefSeq lists it as uncharacterized. The record is from RefSeq and is a predicted model, not a curated record. Lineage: Eukaryota; Metazoa; Arthropoda; Malacostraca; Decapoda; Portunidae. The transcript is spliced from 6 exons.
UGCAGCCAAUCCCAGCCUUGGACGUGGCAGCGCUCCACCUGCCGUUGACCAGCAGAGUUACCAGACCGGCGCACGCCACUUACCUUUCUGAAAGCGAGGUGCGUGGUGGCAUUCCUUGAUCCAUGAAGACUUCAAAACUUUAUAAAACUGCAAGCCAGCCAACAUAUCUGUGACCACAAAAGACUGCAGAAGUGGUGGUGUGCCGCGCCACCAAGUAGACGGCAAAUCAUGCAUACAAAUCAGAUAUGCUUCAGGACGCAGUCACCCGGCUGUAUUGUACAGUGCGUGUCACUAGCUGUUGGAGCCUGCCUCUUUCACAUUGUCGGUUUCUCUGAGCGUCGUCUCACAUUGUCGAUUUCUUUGAGCAAUGUCCGAAGUGAGCUUCAGCAGUGUUGUACAUGUGGGUUAUUGUAGCUGUACUGGCAGGUCUUCGUUAGUUCUCAGGUGAUGUUUUCCUGAUCACAUCCAUUACUGUAGGGUCGAGGAAAGGCAAUUCUCUCCAAUAUAAUAUCAAUGAGAAUGAUGCUCGCGAGGCUCGCGAGCAAUAAGUGGGCCUACAACUAGGCUAUGAAUGACGCUCGCGAAGUUAGUGGGCACACAGCACUCUCCUAACAAGUUCUUCAUGGUGUCCUGUAAACCCUCUGCAAAGUGAUGUCUCCUAUACCAUCUGCUUUAGCAGCAGAUGCUGAGGAGUCUUCUGGGAUACAUCAAUUAUGCCAUUGACUUUUGUUUACUAUUUUGUUUACAACUAAGACAGUAAGACUUGUGGACUAGCAGUGUUGCUGGUUAAUGAGCAGUUGAUUGUGUUAAAGAGUUCAGGAGACUUUUUUUUUUUUUUUAUGAAAAAAUAUCCAAAAAUAUCCAGAAGAGGCAGUUAUUCUCUGGAGACUCUGAGGUAAAAUGUACAUUUCUUUGUACUAUGCUGGGUCACUGAAGUUAUCAGUGUAUGUGCAAAUUAAACCCUUCUGCUUAAGGACUCUGAAAAUCUGAUAAAAACCCACUGUAUACAUUUUCAAGAAUGUAUGGAGGCUUGCUUUCCUGCUGUGACCAUCCUCUUUGAACAGCUCCAAAAAGUGCUCUGCCAGGCACCAUUGGCCUGAAAAAUUUCCCUCAUAUGGUACCAUAGUUGUGCUCAAAGUAUCAGCACACUAACAAUAAACCCUGUAGCAAAUAUUUUGGGUAUGUUUGAUAAAAAUAAUUGAAAUAUGAAACUGGUAGUAGUGGAUACAAUUCCAUUAUCCUUGUACAAACACAGAUAAUAAAUGAAAAAACUUG